AGAGUUUGAUCAUGGCUCAGGACGAACGCUGGCGGUGUGCUUAACACAUGCAAGUGGAGCGACGAACCAGGGCUUGCCCUGGGGCAGAGCCGCGAACGGGUGAGUAACACGUGGGUAACGUACCCCGAUGACCGGGACAACCCGAGGAAACUCGGGCUAAUACCGGAUGUGUCCGGUCUUCAUGAGAAGACCGAGCAAAGGAAGCUUCGGCCUCCGCAUCGGGAGCGGCCCGCGGCCCAUUAGCUAGUUGGUGGGGUAAUGGCCUACCAAGGCUGCGAUGGGUAGCUGGUCUGAGAGGACGACCAGCCACACUGGGACUGAGACACGGCCCAGACUCCUACGGGAGGCAGCAGUGGGGAAUCUUGCGCAAUGCGCGAAAGCGUGACGCAGCAACACCGCGUGAGGGAAGACGGCCUUCGGGUUGUAAACCUCUUUCAGGAGGGACGAAGGGCGACCGGUGAAUAGCCGUGUUGCUUGACGGUACCUCCAGAAGAAGCUCCGGCUAACUACGUGCCAGCAGCCGCGGUAAUACGUAGGGAGCAAGCGUUGUCCGGAAUCAUUGGGCGUAAAGCGCGCGUAGGCGGCCCGAUAAGUCCGCUGUAAAAGUCAACGGCUCAACUGUUGAAAGCCGGUGGAUACUGUCGGGCUAGAGUCCGGAAGAGGCAAGUGGAAUUCCUGGUGUAGCGGUGGAAUGCGUAGAGAUCCGGAAGAACACCGGGGGCGAAGGCGGCUCGCUGGGCAUGGUCCGACGCUGAGGCGCGAAAGCGUGGGGAGCGAACAGGAUUAGAUACCCCCGUAGUCC
This 802-nucleotide ribosomal RNA is filed under the name uncultured Solirubrobacterales bacterium. RNAcentral describes it as "bacterial SSU rRNA". It matches the Rfam family "Bacterial small subunit ribosomal RNA", at positions 8 to 796 of the family's 1533-position model. The record is from RNAcentral. Lineage: Bacteria; Bacillati; Actinomycetota; Thermoleophilia; Solirubrobacterales.